This 429-nucleotide ribosomal RNA is filed under the name uncultured archaeon. RNAcentral's name for it is "bacterial SSU rRNA". It matches the Rfam family "Archaeal small subunit ribosomal RNA", at positions 474 to 903 of the family's 1478-position model. The record is from RNAcentral.
UACCUGCAGCUCGAGUGGUAACCGCUAUUAUUGGGCCUAAAGCGUCCGUAGCCGGUUUGGUAAAUAUCUGGGUAAAUCGUGAGGCUUAACUUCACGAAUUUCGGAUAGACUGCCAGACUUGGGAUCGGGGGAGGUCAGAGGUACUCCAGGGGUAGCGGUGAAAUGUUGUAAUCCUUGGAGGACCACCGGUAGCGAAGGCGUCUGACUAGAACGAGUCCGACGGUGAGGGACGAAGCCCUGGGGCGCAAACCGGAUUAGAUACCCGGGUAGUCCAGGGUGUAAACGAUGUGGGCUUUGUAUUGGAGGUCCCACGUUGGCGUCCAGUGCAGAAGAGAAGUUGUUAAGCCCACCGCCUGGGAAGUAUGGUCGCAAGGCUGAAACUUAAAGGAAUUGGCGGGGGAGCACAGCAACGGGAGGAGCGUGCGGUUU